GACGAACGCUGGCGGCGUGCUUAACACAUGCAAGUCGAACGCUGAAGCUUGGUGCUUGCACUGGGUGGAUGAGUGGCGAACGGGUGAGUAAUACGUGAGUAACCUGCCCUUGACUCUGGGAUAAGCCUGGGAAACUGGGUCUAAUACUGGAUAUGACAUGCCACUGCAUGGUGGUGUGUGGAAAGGGGUUUAGUGGUUUUGGAUGGGCUCACGGCCUAUCAGCUUGUUGGUGGGGUAAUGGCCUACCAAGGCGACGACGGGUAGCCGGCCUGAGAGGGUGACCGGCCACACUGGGACUGAGACACGGCCCAGACUCCUACGGGAGGCAGCAGUGGGGAAUAUUGCACAAUGGGCGGAAGCCUGAUGCAGCGACGCCGCGUGAGGGAUGACGGCCUUCGGGUUGUAAACCUCUUUCAGCACGGAAGAAGCGAGAGUGACGGUACGUGCAGAAGAAGCGCCGGCUAACUACGUG
This 472-nucleotide ribosomal RNA is filed under the name uncultured bacterium. RNAcentral describes it as "partial 16S ribosomal RNA". It matches the Rfam family "Bacterial small subunit ribosomal RNA", at positions 28 to 507 of the family's 1533-position model. The record is from RNAcentral.